This 468-nucleotide ribosomal RNA is filed under the name uncultured bacterium. RNAcentral describes it as "partial 16S ribosomal RNA". It matches the Rfam family "Bacterial small subunit ribosomal RNA", at positions 28 to 507 of the family's 1533-position model. The record is from RNAcentral.
GACGAACGCUGGCGGCGUGCUUAACACAUGCAAGUCGAACGGAAAGGCCCUGCUUUUGUGGGGUGCUCGAGUGGCGAACGGGUGAGUAACAAGUGAGUAACCUGCCCUUGACUUUGGGAUAACUUCAGGAAACUGGGGCUAAUAACGGAUAGGAGCUCCUGCUGCAUGGUGGGGGUUGGAAAGUUUCGGCGGUUGGGGAUGGACUCGCGGCUUAUCAGCUUGUUGGUGGGGUAGUGGCUUACCAAGGCUUUGACGGGUAGCCGGCCUGAGAGGGUGACCGGCCACAUUGGGACUGAGAUACGGCCCAGACUCCUACGGGAGGCAGCAGUGGGGAAUAUUGCACAAUGGGCGGAAGCCUGAUGCAGCAACGCCGCGUGCGGGAUGACGGCCUUCGGGUUGUAAACCGCUUUCGCCUGUGACGAAGCGUGAGUGACGGUAAUGGGUAAAGAAGCACCGGCUAACUACGUG